RNAcentral lists this ribosomal RNA (354 nucleotides) under uncultured bacterium. RNAcentral describes it as "bacterial LSU rRNA". It matches the Rfam family "Bacterial large subunit ribosomal RNA", at positions 114 to 485 of the family's 2925-position model. The record is from RNAcentral.
CUGAAUGGGGCAACCCAGCAUGUUGAAGACAUGUUAUCCGAAAGGAGGCGAACCCGGGGAACUGAAACAUCUAAGUACCCGGAGGAAUAGAAAACAAUAGUGAUUCCGUUAGUAGCGGCGAGCGAACGCGGAAAAGCCCAAACCAGUCUUGUUACGGCAAGGCUGGGGUUGUAGGACCACGACAUUCGAUGCUUUAUGAACUGGAAACUGCUGGAAAGUGGUACCAUAGAGGGUGAUAGUCCCGUACAGGUAAAGACAGUUAUUGAUAGUGGUAUCCUGAGUAGCACGGGGCACGGGAAACCUUGUGUGAAUCUACCAGGACCAUCUGGUAAGGCUAAAUACUUCUGAGAGACC